GACGAACGCUGGCGGCAUGCCUAAUACAUGCAAGUCGAACGCUGAAGCACUCUGCUUGCAGAGUGCGGAUGAGUGGCGAACGGGUGAGUAACACGUGGGAAAUCUGCCUAGGAGUGGGGGAUAACAUUCGGAAACGGAUGCUAAUACCGCAUAUCUUUUUGAACCGCAUGGUUCUUAAACGAAAGACGGCUUCGGCUGUCGCUCUUAGAUGAUCCCGCGGCGUAUUAGUUAGUUGGUGGGGUAAAGGCCUACCAAGACCAUGAUACGUAGCCGACCUGAGAGGGUGAUCGGCCACACUGGGACUGAGACACGGCCCAGACUCCUACGGGAGGCAGCAGUAGGGAAUCUUCCACAAUGGGUGAAACCUGAUGGAGCAAUGCCGCGUGAAUGAAGAAGGUCUUCGGAUCGUAAAGUUCUGUUAUUAGAGAAGAACAAGUCAAGGAGUAACUGUCUUGACUUUGACGGUACCUAACCAGAAAGUCACGGCUAACUACGUGCCAG
This 501-nucleotide ribosomal RNA is filed under the name uncultured bacterium. RNAcentral describes it as "bacterial SSU rRNA". It matches the Rfam family "Bacterial small subunit ribosomal RNA", at positions 28 to 511 of the family's 1533-position model. The record is from RNAcentral.